RNAcentral lists this transfer RNA (74 nucleotides) under Leptospirillum ferrooxidans C2-3. It matches the Rfam family "tRNA". From Rfam's summary of the family: Transfer RNA (tRNA) molecules are approximately 80 nucleotides in length. Lineage: Bacteria; Pseudomonadati; Nitrospirota; Nitrospiria; Nitrospirales; Nitrospiraceae. The record is from Rfam by way of RNAcentral.
AGGCCAGUAGCUCAAUCCGGCAGAGCACCGGUCUCCAAAACCGGGUGUUGGGGGUUCGAUUCCCUCCUGGCCUG